Molecule: ribosomal RNA, 408 nt
Filed under: uncultured bacterium
Lineage: Bacteria
Description: partial 16S ribosomal RNA
Rfam family: Bacterial small subunit ribosomal RNA
Source: RNAcentral
GACGAACGCUGGCGGCGUGCUUAACACAUGCAAGUCGAACGAAGUGGCGAACGGGUGAGUAACGGGUAAUCAACCUGCCCUUCAGAGGGGGACAACAGUUGGAAACGACAGCUCAUACCGCAUAUUGCAGGAGGGGAAUGCGUCUGAUUAGCUAGUUGGAGGGGUAACGGCCGACCAAGGCGAUGAUCAGUUGCCGGUCUGAGAGGAUGAACGGCCACAUUGGGACUGAGACACGGCCCAGACUCCUACGGGAGGCAGCAGUGGGGAAUCUUCCGCAAUGGACGAAAGUCUGACGGAGCAACGCCGCGUGAGUGAUGACGGCCUUCGGGUUGUAAAGCUCUGUUAAUCGGGACGCGGUACCGGAAUAGAAAGCCACGGCUAACUACGUGCCAGCAGCCGCGGUAAUUC